This 416-nucleotide ribosomal RNA is filed under the name uncultured bacterium. RNAcentral's name for it is "bacterial SSU rRNA". It matches the Rfam family "Bacterial small subunit ribosomal RNA", at positions 355 to 775 of the family's 1533-position model. The record is from RNAcentral.
UCGAGGAUCUUCGUCAAUGGGCGCAAGCCUGAACGAGCGACGCCGCGUGGGCGAUGAAGGCCUUCGGGUUGUAAAGCCCUGUCGAGGGGGAUAAAGCUGGCGUAAGCUAGUUGAUUGAUCCCUGGAGGAAGCACGGGCUAAGUUCGUGCCAGCAGCCGCGGUAAGACGAACCGUGCGAACGUUGUUCGGAAUCACUGGGCUUAAAGGGCGCGUAGGCGGCCGGCGAGGUCGGGGGUGAAAUCCCGCCGCUUAACGGCGGAAGGGCCUCCGAUACCGGUCGGCUGGAGGAGGGUAGGGGUGCGCGGAACUUCUGGUGGAGCGGUGAAAUGCGUUGAUAUCAGAAGGAACGCCGGCGGCGAAAGCGGCGCACUGGACCCUUUCUGACGCUGAGGCGCGAAAGCCAGGGGAGCAAACGG